Molecule: ribosomal RNA, 679 nt
Filed under: sulfate-reducing bacterium enrichment culture clone 1-3-9-B9
Lineage: Bacteria
Description: bacterial SSU rRNA
Rfam family: Bacterial small subunit ribosomal RNA
Source: RNAcentral
UAAAGUGGCGCACGGGUGAGUAACGCGUAGAUAACCUGUCUUCGUGUCUGGAAUAAUACACCGAAAGGGGUACUAAUACCGGAUAAUCUUGCUUUUCAUAAGUUUUGCAAGCAAAGGUGGCCUCUGACUUAAGCUACUGCAUGAAGAGGGGUCUGCGUACCAUUAGCUAGUAGGUGGGGUAAAGGCCUACCUAGGCAACGAUGGUUAGCGGGUCUGAGAGGAUGAUCCGCCACACUGGCACUGGAACACGGGCCAGACUCCUACGGGAGGCAGCAGUGAGGAAUAUUGCGCAAUGGGGGCAACCCUGACGCAGCGACGCCGCGUGAGUGAGGAAGGCCUUCGGGUCGUAAAGCUCUGUCAAAGGGAAAGAAGUGUACAAUGGCUAAUACCUGUUGUAUUUGACGGUACCCUUAAAGGAAGCACCGGCUAACUCCGUGCCAGCAGCCGCGGUAAUACGGAGGGUGCAAGCGUUGUUCGGAAUUACUGGGCGUAAAGGGCGCGUAGGCGGUUUGAUAAGUCAGAUGUGAAAGCCCACGGCUUAACUGUGGAAGUGCAUUUGAAACUGUCAGACUUGAGUACCAGAGGGGAAAGUGGAAUUCCCGGUGUAGAGGUGAAAUUCGUAGAUAUCGGGAGGAAUACCGGUGGCGAAGGCGACUUUCUGGCUGGAUACUGACGCUGA